GGGGGCGACUGGUCUCGACGGGAUCGACGAGAUGCCUGGUUGCACGUACUGGUUGCUUUCGGCCCAGUAUAAAAAACGAGGACACUAUAUAGAUGCCGAUGAUUACGGCUACGCAAUGGCUGCGUAGAUAACCGCAGCCCGUCUUCUGACCGCCUCGCCUGUGGGUAGUCAGUCGACGUCGAUAAUGCAGGCUAGCUUGUCCGGUUGUACUCGCCUGACUCGCAAAACUGAAUCGGGUAAUCGUCCUGCUGGAGCGUGUCUCUUCGCGCCAGCCGGAUUAAACUAAAACAGAGACUAAGCGUGUAGUAGCCAGCCAGAUUGCUUUCUCGGACGAGGGUUCGAUUCCCUCCGCCUCCACUU
This 360-nucleotide transfer-messenger RNA is filed under the name Fidelibacterota bacterium. It matches the Rfam family "transfer-messenger RNA". Rfam says of the family: Bacterial tmRNA, also known as 10Sa RNA or SsrA, is named for its dual tRNA and mRNA-like properties. Its role is to liberate the mRNA from a stalled ribosome. To accomplish this part of the tmRNA is used as a reading frame that ends in a translation stop signal. The record is from RNAcentral. Lineage: Bacteria; Pseudomonadati; Fidelibacterota.